UGCGAGCGAGGAGGACGACGAGGAGGCCUCGGGGGUAUGAUCACGCAGGGGAGGGUCGCGCAAAGGUGCGCGGCCUCGCCAGCGGUGGCCACGACGACCGCGGUGAGACAC
RNAcentral lists this non-coding RNA (111 nucleotides) under Chloropicon primus. Lineage: Eukaryota; Viridiplantae; Chlorophyta; Chloropicophyceae; Chloropicales; Chloropicaceae. The record is from RNAcentral.